GACGAACGCUGGCGGAGGGAGGAAAAAAGGCAAGUCGAACGGAAAGGCCCUGCUUUUGGGGGGUGCUCGAGUGGCGAACGGGUGAGUAACACGUGAGUAACCUGCCCUUGACUUUGGGAUAACUUCAGGAAACUGGGGCUAAUACCGGAUAGGAGCUCCUGCUGCAUGGUGGGGGUCGGAAAGUUUCGGCGGUUGGGGAUGGACUCGCGGCUUAUCAGCUUGUUGGUGGGGUAGUGGCUUACCAAGGCUUUGACGGGUAGCCGGCCUGAGAGGGUGACCGGCCACAUUGGGACUGAGAUACGGCCCAGACUCCUACGGGAGGCAGCAGUGGGGAAUAUUGCACAAUGGGCGGAAGCCUGAUGCAGCAACGCCGCGUGCGGGAUGCCCGCCUUCGGGUUGUAAACCGCUUUCGCCUGUGACGAAGCGUGAGUGACGGUAAUGGGUAAAGAAGCACCGGCUCCCUACGUU
RNAcentral lists this ribosomal RNA (468 nucleotides) under uncultured bacterium. Its description in RNAcentral is "partial 16S ribosomal RNA". It matches the Rfam family "Bacterial small subunit ribosomal RNA", at positions 28 to 507 of the family's 1533-position model. The record is from RNAcentral.